Molecule: ribosomal RNA, 819 nt
Filed under: uncultured Burkholderiales bacterium
Lineage: Bacteria; Pseudomonadati; Pseudomonadota; Betaproteobacteria; Burkholderiales
Description: bacterial SSU rRNA
Rfam family: Bacterial small subunit ribosomal RNA
Source: RNAcentral
GUCGAACGGCAGCGGGUCCUUCGGGAUGCCGGCGAGUGGCGAACGGGUGAGUAAUGUAUCGGAACGUGCCCAGUAGCGGGGGAUAACUACGCGAAAGCGUGGCUAAUACCGCAUACGCCCUUAGGGGGAAAGGCGGGGAUCCUUCGGGACCUGUCACUAUUGGAGCGGCCGAUAUCGGAUUAGCUGGUUGGUGGGGUAAUGGCCUACCAAGGCGACGAUCCGUAGCUGGUUUGAGAGGACGACCAGCCACACUGGGACUGAGACACGGCCCAGACUCCUACGGGAGGCAGCAGUGGGGAAUUUUGGACAAUGGGGGCAACCCUGAUCCAGCCAUCCCGCGUGUGCGAUGAAGGCCUUCGGGUUGUAAAGCACUUUUGGCAGGGAAGAAAUUGCCUGGGUUAAUAGCCUGGGCCGAUGACGGUACCUGCAGAAUAAGCACCGGCUAACUACGUGCCAGCAGCCGCGGUAAUACGUAGGGUGCGAGCGUUAAUCGGAGUUACUGGGCGUAAAGCGUGCGCAGGCGGUUCGGAAAGAGAGAUGUGAAAUCCCAGGGCUCAACCUUGGAACUGCAUUUUUAACUACCGGGCUAGAGUGUGUCAGAGGGGGGUGGAAUUCCGCGUGUAGCAGUGAAAUGCGUAGAGAUGCGGAGGAACACCGAUGGCGAAGGCAGCCCCCUGGGAUAACACUGACGCUCAUGCACGAAAGCGUGGGUAGCAAACAGGAUUAGAUACCCUGGUAGUCCACGCCCUAAACGAUGUCAACUAGCUGUUGGGGCUUUCGGGCCUUGGUAGCGCAGCUAACGCGUGAAGUUGACCGCCU